GAUGAACGCUAGCGGGAGGCCUAACACAUGCAAGCCGAGCGGUAGAGAUUCUUCGGAAUCUUGAGAGCGGCGUACGGGUGCGGAACACGUGUGCAACCUGCCUUUAUCAGGGGGAUAGCCUUUCGAAAGGAAGAUUAAUACCCCAUAAUAUAUUUGAUGGCAUCAUUAGAUAUUGAAAGCUUUGGCGGAUAGAGAUGGGCACGCGCAAGAUUAGAUAGUUGGUGAGGUAACGGCUCACCAAGUCGAUGAUCUUUAGGGGGCAUGAGAGGGUGAUCCCCCACACUGGUACUGCGACACGGACCAGAAUCCUACGGGAGGCAGCAGUGAGGAAUAUUGGACAAUGGGUUAGCGCCUGAUCCAGCCAUCCCGAGUGAAGGACGACGGCCCUAGGGGUUGUAAACUUCUUUUGUACAGGGAUAAACCUACUCUCGUGAGAGUAGCUGAAGGUACUGUACGAAUAAGCACCGGCUAACUCCGUG
This 479-nucleotide ribosomal RNA is filed under the name uncultured bacterium. Its description in RNAcentral is "partial 16S ribosomal RNA". It matches the Rfam family "Bacterial small subunit ribosomal RNA", at positions 28 to 507 of the family's 1533-position model. The record is from RNAcentral.